AAAGAAAAAAAAAUAGAAAUGCACUUGCCGAGACUCAAGACUCUAACACUUGUAAAAUGCUCACAGAGAAUUGAGUUUAAAAGAGUCAAAAGUGAAUAAACCCCCAGAGUUAUGAGCUAAGCACGAAAAAAAAGAGAAAAUCAAACAACAUGAAUGCCGAGUUCAAAACCAUUUGUUAUCCAUUUAUGUGUCUAUCCUACCGUACCCAAG
Molecule: long non-coding RNA, 210 nt
Filed under: Lathyrus oleraceus (garden pea)
Lineage: Eukaryota; Viridiplantae; Streptophyta; Magnoliopsida; Fabales; Fabaceae
Description: Pisum sativum (pea) long non-coding RNA (PSAT_LNC013972)
Source: RNAcentral